Molecule: long non-coding RNA, 1318 nt
Filed under: Triticum aestivum (bread wheat)
Lineage: Eukaryota; Viridiplantae; Streptophyta; Magnoliopsida; Poales; Poaceae
Description: long non-coding RNA (TAES_LNC013288)
Source: RNAcentral
AUAAAACGGCAAAAGGAAGCUGCGCUCCUGCAAGGAGACGGACCGGAUUUCGGCGGACCAUUCACGCGCAUGUCGCUUGUACGCCUCGCCUCGCCACGCCACGCCACGCCACAGCUCGGCCCGGCCCGGCCAAGCCAGGCCAGGCGAGGCGAGCGAGCGCGCGCGUGUGGUUUUCCCUUUCUCUUCUCACACACCACUUAGAGUGGUGGAGAGAACCCACUAUAUAAAAAGGUCCAACUCUUCUUCAACUUCCAAGGUGGGAUUAAACUUAGCACCACCACUUGCCAUUUUACACAUGGGCUUUGAGAUUUCAGAAAUUGCUAUGGGCCUAGCCCAUUAAUUCUAACAAUCCCCCACCAGAUCUCAAAUACCCAUUUAGAGAUUUGCCUUCUCUCACCACUUGUUUAAUAUACCAGUGUUGCAGCAGAGACUGUUAAGUUGAACUUCUGCCUAGAACUUUAAGCUACAUCCAUUCACAACUUGACAAUGGACUAUGCCUUGAAUUGCUAGUUUUGUGUGAACAGGUUUCACUCAAAGUCUUAACCAGUACCUGACCGCCAGUAGGCUACCCCGCGGUUUGGAGCUUAUACGUCAUACUCCCUGGUCUCUUCGUGAGCUUACUAGAGAUCACCCAAAUCUCAUAGACUGCGACGUUUACAGUCAGAACUCAUAUAGGUGUGUUCUUUCAAGACUGCUCUGUAGGACAGCAUCUUUGCUAAUUAUAGCCAAUAGAACCACAUUAAGGCAUGUUGCCAACCUGCCUUACAGAUCUGAGCCUUACAGCUCUGAGAGUUUUGCAUCUUCACUUGGAGACGAUCAUAAAAUCUUUGUAUGGUCUGAAACAGGCACCUAAGCAAUGGCAUGAGAAGGUGGGACUAAACUUAGCACCACCACUUGCCAUUUUACACAUGGGCUUUGAGAUUUCAGAAAUUGCUAUAGGCCUAGCCCAUUAAUUCUAACACAAAACACACAGAGGCAUAUGAUUAGGUAGAAAAUCUAGUCCAGAGUAUUCCUUUUCAUGCAAGGCUACCGACCUAAUCCAUGACCCAGAAAGUCAGAGCUAAAUGUAUUUGUACACAUACAUAAGCAAUAGAUACAAAAGGAUGAGCAGAUUUACCAAAGAAACUAUAGGUAGUGUAGUAAGGAUGGAGGAAUCUGAAACCAUCGAUGACACGAAAGCUGAAAGCGCAUAUCCAAUCAUAUGCAUACUGCAAGUCAAAAGUAAAAAUUGAUCCAUUAGUUGGACAGCCAGGUGUACCUCAACUGCAGGCGAACCGAGGGAAAAUAAAGCCGAGUCAAGGAAAUUCGUUCUGGCUUG